Molecule: long non-coding RNA, 669 nt
Organism: Melospiza melodia melodia
Lineage: Eukaryota; Metazoa; Chordata; Aves; Passeriformes; Passerellidae
Exons: 3
Source: RefSeq, a predicted model, not a curated record
AAGGCAAGGAGGAGGAGGGGAGGAACGACUGCCUCAGCAAGGAGACACUGCGUGAGAGAGAGAGGUGAAAAUGAGAGCUAACAUCAGCUCCCCCGGGGUCCGCUGUAAUCAGCAGACAAAUGGUCUGUACUCAUGGCAUGUAUUCAUUCUGCAGCCACGGGCUGCCAACAAGAGCCUUCCUGCCUCUGCUUGGAAAUAAGGGCCAAGGAAACCUCUGGACCAGAGGGAGAUACGCAGAGCACAACGCGGGCUGUAUGGGUUAUGCUGAUCCUAGUGCUCAUGGAAGAGGCAGGGGAAUCAUCACAGUGGCUUUAGGGAGAUGUGCACUGCAGAGUGCAGAGGCUGGUUGGAUCAAAGGGCUUUGGCUGCACAGCUCUGGAACUGCAGACCCAUGUCUUCUAUGUCUGUAAGGCAAACAUACAAAGAAGCUACAUUGAUUCACUGGCUGUUCUGUCCAUACAGCUCCUUCCUGAUACAGGACUGACUUGUUGAUAUGUAUUAAUCUAGCUCUUAUCCUAUUAUAUCUGUUACUGGUAUUAAUUUGUUGGAAAUUAAACAUAUAAGCAACAUCUGUUGUCAAAAGAUUUAAAAAACCCGGAUUAGAAUAAUUUAUUUAGGAUUAAUUCGUUGCCUGCAACCUAAUAUGGGGAUUUUAAUUACUUUAUAAUU